AUUGAACGCUGGCGGCAGGCUUAACACAUGCAAGUCGAGCGGGGUGAUGGUGCUUGCACUAUCACUUAGCGGCGGACGGGUGAGUAAUGCUUAGGAAUCUGCCUAUUAGUGGGGGACAACAUUUCGAAAGGAAUGCUAAUACCGCAUACGUCCUACGGGAGAAAGCAGGGGAUCUUCGGACCUUGCGCUAAUAGAUGAGCCUAAGUCGGAUUAGCUAGUUGGUGGGGUAAAGGCCUACCAAGGCGACGAUCUGUAGCGGGUCUGAGAGGAUGAUCCGCCACACUGGGACUGGGACACGGCCCAGACGCCUACGGGAGGCAGCAGUGGGGAAUAUUAGACAAUGGGCGCAAGCCUGAUCCAGCCAUGCCGCGUGUGUGAAGAAGGCCUUAUGGUUGUAAAGCACUUUAAGCGAGGAGGAGGCUACUUUAGUUAAUACCUAGAGAUAGUGGACGUUACUCGCAGAAUAAGCACCGGCUAACUCUGUGCCAGCAGCCGCAGUAA
This 501-nucleotide ribosomal RNA is filed under the name uncultured bacterium. RNAcentral describes it as "partial 16S ribosomal RNA". It matches the Rfam family "Bacterial small subunit ribosomal RNA", at positions 30 to 523 of the family's 1533-position model. The record is from RNAcentral.